CAAUAGCGUAUAUUAAAGUUGUUGCAGUUAAAAAGCUCGUAGUUGGAUUUCUGGUCGGAAGCUCCUGUCCUCUGAUGAGCGUACAAGUGCGUCCUACCAUCCUUCUGUUAACCUUUAAGGCUUUCGCGGCUUUCUAGGGGCUCAGAUAUUUUACCUUGAGAAAAUUAGAGUGUUUCAGGCAGGCUAGCGCCGGAAUACAUUAGCAUGGAAUAAUGGAAUAGGACUUUUGCCUCUUCUGUUGGUCAUGAGGCUCGAGUAAUGAUUAAUAGGGAUAGUUGGGGGCAUUAGUACUUAACUGUCAGAGGUGAAAUUCUCGGAUUUGUUAAAGACGGACUACUGCGAAAGCAUUUGCCAAGGAUGUUUUCAUUGA
RNAcentral lists this ribosomal RNA (370 nucleotides) under uncultured eukaryote. RNAcentral describes it as "partial 18S ribosomal RNA". It matches the Rfam family "Eukaryotic small subunit ribosomal RNA", at positions 592 to 976 of the family's 1831-position model. The record is from RNAcentral.